AUUUCCCAUGACGUAAGUCAGUAAGAUCCCUUGAAGAACACGAGGUUGAUAGGUGAGAGGUGUAAGUGCAGUAAUGUAUUCAGCUUACUCAUACUAAUAGAUCGAGGGCUUAAUCAA
This is a ribosomal RNA of Proteiniclasticum ruminis, 117 nucleotides long. It matches the Rfam family "Bacterial large subunit ribosomal RNA", at positions 2809 to 2925 of the family's 2925-position model. The record is from Rfam. NCBI's taxonomy places the organism in Bacteria, Bacillati, Bacillota, Clostridia, Eubacteriales, Clostridiaceae.